RNAcentral lists this ribosomal RNA (1477 nucleotides) under metagenome. RNAcentral describes it as "bacterial SSU rRNA". It matches the Rfam family "Bacterial small subunit ribosomal RNA". The record is from RNAcentral.
AGAGUUUGAUCCUGGCUCAGGACGAACGCUGGCGGCGCGCCUAACACAUGCAAGUCGAACGAGAGAGAGGGAGCUUGCUUCCUCAAUCGAGUGGCGAACGGGUGAGUAACGCGUGAGGAACCUGCCUCAAAGAGGGGGACAACAGUUGGAAACGACUGCUAAUACCGCAUAAGCCCACGGCUCGGCAUCGAGCAGAGGGAAAAGGAGCAAUCCGCUUUGAGAUGGCCUCGCGUCCGAUUAGCUAGUUGGUGAGGUAAUGGCCCACCAAGGCGACGAUCGGUAGCCGGACUGAGAGGUUGAACGGCCACAUUGGGACUGAGACACGGCCCAGACUCCUACGGGAGGCAGCAGUGGGGAAUAUUGCACAAUGGGGGAAACCCUGAUGCGGCGACGCCGCGUGGAGGAAGAAGGUCUUCGGAUUGUAAACUCCUGUUGUUGAGGAAGAUAAUGACGGUACUCAACAAGGAAGUGACGGCUAACUACGUGCCAGCAGCCGCGGUAAAACGUAGGUCACAAGCGUUGUCCGGAAUUACUGGGUGUAAAGGGAGCGCAGGCGGGCGAUCAAGUUGGAAGUGAAAUCCAUGGGCUCAACCCAUGAACUGCUUUCAAAACUGAUUGUCUUGAGUAGUGCAGAGGUAGGCGGAAUUCCCGGUGUAGCGGUGGAAUGCGUAGAUAUCGGGAGGAACACCAGUGGCGAAGGCGGCCUACUGGGCACCAACUGACGCUGAGGCUCGAAAGUGUGGGUAGCAAACAGGAUUAGAUACCCUGGUAGUCCACACCGUAAACGAUGAUUACUAGGUGUUGGAGGAUUGACCCCUUCAGUGCCGCAGUUAACACAAUAAGUAAUCCACCUGGGGAGUACGACCGCGAGGUUGAAACUCAAAGGAAUUGACGGGGGCCCGCACAAGCAGUGGAGUAUGUGGUUUAAUUCGAAGCAACGCGAAGAACCUUACCAGGUCUUGACAUCCUUCUGACCGCACCUUAAUCGGUGCUUUCCUUCGGGACAGAAGAGACAGGUGGUGCAUGGUUGUCGUCAGCUCGUGUCGUGAGAUGUUGGGUUAAGUCCCGCAACGAGCGCAACCCCUAUCUUCAGUAGCCAGCAGGUAAGGCUGGGCACUCUGGAGAGACUGCCAGGGAUAACCUGGAGGAAGGUGGGGACGACGUCAAAUCAUCAUGCCCCUUAUGAUCUGGGCGACACACGUGCUACAAUGGCGGUCACAGAGUGAGGCGAACCCGCGAGGGGGAGCAAACCACAAAAAGGCCGUCCCAGUUCGGACUGUAGUCUGCAACCCGACUACACGAAGCUGGAAUCGCUAGUAAUCGCGAAUCAGAAUGUCGCGGUGAAUACGUUCCCGGGUCUUGUACACACCGCCCGUCACACCAUGGGAGUCGGAAAUGCCCGAAGCCAGUGACCCAACCUUUUGGAGGGAGCUGUCGAAGGUGGAGCCGGUAACUGGGGUGAAGUCGUAACAAGGUA